UGCAAGUCCAGCAGUCCACACAGAGCUGCAGUAACAUGAAGGAUUUUGUCUGCUUCAAAACAAAACAAGAAAAGAAAAAAGGAAGAAACCCUACUCCUGUGCAAUUAUAAAAACUUCUUCCCUGUGAGAUGAUGGCCUGGAUGACCAGAGGGCACUGGAGGGCAGGACGUAGUGGAUAAGUGUGGUUGAAGUGACAGCCAAGGGACUCUGUUAGGCAACUUCCUGAACUUGAGAUUACACUCUUCACCGUGAAGUCCUCAAAGAGUUCAGUGGCUGCCCAUGCAGAAGACACAAUUAAGAUGAUCUUCA
Molecule: long non-coding RNA, 309 nt
Filed under: Gallus gallus (chicken)
Lineage: Eukaryota; Metazoa; Chordata; Aves; Galliformes; Phasianidae
Source: RNAcentral